This 75-nucleotide transfer RNA is filed under the name Candidatus Woesearchaeota archaeon ex4484_78. Its description in RNAcentral is "tRNA-Met". It matches the Rfam family "tRNA". Rfam says of the family: Transfer RNA (tRNA) molecules are approximately 80 nucleotides in length. Their secondary structure includes four short double-helical elements and three loops (D, anti-codon, and T loops). RNAcentral also lists the same sequence under 1 other name. Lineage: Archaea; Nanobdellati; Candidatus Woesearchaeota. The record is from RNAcentral.
GCCGCCGUAGCUCAGCCUGGUUAGAGCGCCACGCUCAUAACGUGGAGGUCGCGCGUUCAAAUCCCGUCGGCGGCA